This 253-nucleotide ribosomal RNA is filed under the name uncultured bacterium. Its description in RNAcentral is "partial 16S ribosomal RNA". It matches the Rfam family "Bacterial small subunit ribosomal RNA", at positions 524 to 776 of the family's 1533-position model. The record is from RNAcentral.
UACGUAGGGUGCAAGCGUUGUCCGGAAUUAUUGGGCGUAAAGAGCUCGUAGGCGGUUUGUUGCGUCGGCUGUGAAAUCCCGAGGCUCAACCUCGGGUCUGCAGUCGAUACGAGCAAACUAGAGUGUUGCAGGGGAGACUGGAAUUCCUGGUAUAGCGGUGAAAUGCGUAGAUAUCAGGAGGAACACCGGUGGCGAAGGCGGCCCUCUGGACGGAUACUGACGCUGAGGCGCGAAAGCGUGGGGAUCAAACAGG